CGAGGGGCAGAGCAGGCUGCCUUUUGUCCAUUGGCGGAGGCUCCCCGGACUGCCACUCCAGCGCCGGCCUUGUCAGUCAAAGCCACGCGGGUGCCCAGCGCUGACAAACGCUGCCGCUUCUCAGCCUCCCGCUUGCAAAUACUGCUUGGAAUGGCUGCUUAAUUAGCUUUGAAUGGCUUUUCCUUCCAGCUCAAACAAUCUGUCACUACCAUGCGGGGAAAAGGAGCCAUGCAUAAAAAACUCCAGUCCUGUUGAGAUGCGGUAAAGUGACCAAGAAUGUCCGUUGCUAAUUGAUACUUAGCACACCGGUGCCAUACUGAAAUAGCAGAUUUUUGAUUGUAGGUUAUUAAAAUUUACCUGGUUCAAAAAAAGCCAUUGGAGAGGGAAGGAAGUGUUCUGGAUCACAUGGAUUUAAAAGUCUAUUUAAAUGGAUGCUUUCACAUCCUCAUUAUACAUCGGGCUUUCCCCCUACCUUUUUCCCGGGUCUGGGGAUAUCUUGUCAGUACAUGACUCACUUCAGCCCCUUGAGAACUUUUGUAAGAGCAAACCUCUUUCCUGCAGCUGGCUAGGGAUGGGACGUGUGGAGGCUUUGAAUCUUCUCUGGGGGCAUUGUAAGCCUAGAGAGUUGUCUGGUGAGAGCAAGGCUUUAAUGGGAGAAGUAUCCAUUGGAAGGCCCACGAUGUGUACGCAGGGCAUGAGGUAAGCUGCUAUUCUCAGCUGCAAGGUAAAGAUCCAUGGAGACAGAGAUGGCCCUCCGUAGUGUCACUAUGCUGCUGUUCCCAGGCCUUUCCACCACUCUCAGGGCACAGAUCCCAAGCCUUAUUUUCUCAGCUGUUUAGCAUGUUGCGUACACACCUGUUGGCUUUACAUGCCUCUCUGAGCUUGGAGUCAUGUGCUCCAUAGGCAGCAGGCAGUUUUCAGUUUGGCUGCAGCAUCAGGGUAAAAGAGGAUGCCACUGUUCCCCACCCAGGAGCAUGCAUGCUCCUUGGCAGAUUGGACACUUUUGUGGGUAAGGUCUAGAAUUUAUCAGGGAGGAGUAUCUUGGACUUCAAUUCAAGCAAAACAAGCUACUAAGGUGGGCUUUCAAAAGAGCAGUGGGUACAAAGGGCUCUGAGGAGCUAGGCUUAAAGCCAUCCUGAGCCCAACCAUGUUUAUCCUUCAAGAUGCUGGACUUCCCUUGAGCUGAAAAACUAACCUCCUUAAACUGAGAGAACCUUCUGCAGUCUCCCCCAACAACUAGAGAGAAAGGAAGAAAAGAAAAUUGGCAGGAGCUGGCGCUCCAAACACCCCAGUGCUCCUAACUUUGAUGGCACACAGAGCUAGAUUUCCUUUGUUUCUGGCAGAAGUGGAAUUCACUACAUUUGAAAUUCCCACAUGCUUAAGGCAAUGGCAGUAAUGGCAGUAUACUAUACACAGC
Molecule: long non-coding RNA, 1417 nt
Organism: Chelonoidis abingdonii (Abingdon island giant tortoise)
Lineage: Eukaryota; Metazoa; Chordata; Testudines; Testudinidae
Source: RefSeq, a predicted model, not a curated record